UAGGGUUCGAUUAUGGCUCAGGAUGAACGCUAGCGGCAGGCUUAACACAUGCAAGUCGAGGGGUAACAGGUAGCUUGCUAUGCUGACGACCGGCGAACGGGUGCGUAACGCGUAUAGAAUCUGCCUUGUACAGGAGGAUAGCCUUUAGAAAUGAAGAUUAACACUCCAUAGUGCUGAGAGGUGGCAUCACUUUUUAGUUAAACAUUUAUGGGUACAAGAUGACUAUGCGUCCUAUUAGCUAGAUGGUAAGGUAACGGCUUACCAUGGCAACGAUAGGUAGGGGGUCUGAGAGGAUUAUCCCCCACACUGGUACUGAGACACGGACCAGACUCCUACGGGAGGCAGCAGUGAGGAAUAUUGGACAAUGGAGGCAACUCUGAUCCAGCCAUGCCGCGUGCAGGAAGACGGCCCUAUGGGUUGUAAACUGCUUUUAUACAGGAAGAAACCAUCUCACGUGUGAGAUCUUGACGGUACUGUAAGAAUAAGCACCGGCUAACUCCGUGCCAGCCGCCGCGGUAAUACA
RNAcentral lists this ribosomal RNA (523 nucleotides) under uncultured Flavobacteriaceae bacterium. Its description in RNAcentral is "bacterial SSU rRNA". It matches the Rfam family "Bacterial small subunit ribosomal RNA", at positions 1 to 527 of the family's 1533-position model. Lineage: Bacteria; Pseudomonadati; Bacteroidota; Flavobacteriia; Flavobacteriales; Flavobacteriaceae. The record is from RNAcentral.